This 253-nucleotide ribosomal RNA is filed under the name uncultured bacterium. RNAcentral's name for it is "partial 16S ribosomal RNA". It matches the Rfam family "Bacterial small subunit ribosomal RNA", at positions 524 to 776 of the family's 1533-position model. The record is from RNAcentral.
UACAGAGGGUGCGAGCGUUAAUCGGAAUUACUGGGCGUAAAGGGUGCGUAGGUGGUUGUAUGUGCGUUAUGUGAAAGCCCCGGGCUUAACCUGGGAAGUGCAUAGCAGACUAUAUAACUGGAGUACAGGAGAGGGUAGUGGAAUUUCCGGUGUAGCGGUGAAAUGAGUAGAUAUCGGAAGGAACGUCAAUGGCGAAGGCAGCUACCUGGACUGAUACUGACACUGAGGCACGAAAGCGUGGGGAGCGAACAGG